This 492-nucleotide ribosomal RNA is filed under the name uncultured bacterium. RNAcentral describes it as "partial 16S ribosomal RNA". It matches the Rfam family "Bacterial small subunit ribosomal RNA", at positions 29 to 507 of the family's 1533-position model. The record is from RNAcentral.
AGUGAACGCUGGCGGUAGGCCUAACACAUGCAAGUCGAACGGCAGCACAGUAAGAGCUUGCUCUUACGGGUGGCGAGUGGCGGACGGGUGAGGAAUACAUCGGAAUCUACUUUUUCGUGGGGGAUAACGUAGGGAAACUUACGCUAAUACCGCAUACGACCUACGGGUGAAAGCAGGGGAUCUUCGGACCUUGCGCGAUUGAAUGAGCCGAUGUCGGAUUAGCUAGUUGGCGGGGUAAAGGCCCACCAAGGCGACGAUCCGUAGCUGGUCUGAGAGGAUGAUCAGCCACACCGGAACUGAGACACGGUCCAGACCCCUACGGGAGGCAGCAGUGGGGAAUAUUGGACAAUGGGCGCAAGCCUGAUCCAGCCAUACCGCGUGGGUGAAGAAGGCCUUCGGGUUGUAAAGCCCUUUUGUUGGGAAAGAAAAGCAGCAGGUUAAUACCCCGCUGUUCUGACGGUACCCAAAGAAUAAGCACCGGCUAACUUCGUG